AUUGAACGCUGGCGGAAUGCUUUACACAUGCAAGUCGAACGGCAGCACGGACUUCGGUCUGGUGGCGAGUGGCGAACGGGUGAGUAAUGUAUCGGAACGUGCCCAGUCGUGGGGGAUAACGUAGUGAAAAUUACGCUAAUACCGCAUACGAUCUAUGGAUGAAAGCGGGGGAACGCAAGACCUCGCGCGAUUGGAGCGGCCGAUAGCAGAUUAGGUAGUUGGUGGGGUAAAGGCCCACCAAGCCAACGAUCUGUAGCUGGUCUGAGAGGACGACCGGCCACACUGGAACUGAGACCCGGUCCAGACUCCUACGGGAGGCAGCAGCGGGGAAUUUUGGACAAUGGGCGAAAGUCUGAUCCAGCCAUUCCGCGUGCAGGAUGAAGGCCCUCGGGUUGUAAACUGCUUUUGUACAGAACGAAAAGGUUUCUACUAAUACUAGGAGCUCAUGACGGUACUGUAAGAAUAAGCACCGGCUAACUACGUGCCAGCCGCCGCCGUAA
RNAcentral lists this ribosomal RNA (500 nucleotides) under uncultured bacterium. Its description in RNAcentral is "partial 16S ribosomal RNA". It matches the Rfam family "Bacterial small subunit ribosomal RNA", at positions 30 to 523 of the family's 1533-position model. The record is from RNAcentral.